UUGACCUCGGAUCAGGUAGGGAUACCCGCUGAACUUAAGCAUAUCAAUAAGCGGGAG
Molecule: ribosomal RNA, 57 nt
Filed under: Penicillium brevicompactum
Lineage: Eukaryota; Fungi; Ascomycota; Eurotiomycetes; Eurotiales; Aspergillaceae
Description: partial 28S ribosomal RNA
Source: RNAcentral